GUGACCAUAAUUGGGGGACUAAAUUGCAAAUAUGGAUAAGUGAUGGAAGACCUAUAUAUAUAUAUACAUAAGAGGUCUUCAUAAUUAAAUUAGAGAGAAAGAAAGAACAACAAAAAAAAAAAAAAAAGGGAAAGAAAGAGAGAGGGUUCGGCCAAGGUAUGGCCAAGCAUGGCCAUGGGAGAUUUGAUCAAGAAAAAUUAUUUCUUUCAAGCUUUUAUACUAAGUGGAAGGUUCUCUACAACGUGGAGUAUUCGUUGGAACAAGUGAAUCAUUCGUUUCGCAAAAAUGAGGUUCUAGCCGGGAAAAGGAACUAGUGCUAAGAUUAACAAGUUGGACGAAUAAGCGUAGCUAGUAAGGCGCGGCGCAGGUACACCCAGAUGAGCUGAGGCCCUUAUAGAAGAUGUUCCAGCGAAGUUGGCGAGCUCCAGUUAGCCCGGGAGUGUAGCCGAGUCAGUGUAUAUGUGCCAUGGUUUCCGAUUGCAGUUAGAGACUUUGCAGACAGAGUCGUGGGUAUAGAGCGUCAGCUUUGUAGACGGCUUCGCCUGUCAAAAUGUUAUUACGUUUCAUGUCACGCGUUCCAUAUGAUGAUACACUCUCCAAAAAAAAAAAUUAAAAAAAAUUGAGAGCUUACUAUGCAUUUUAUUCUGAAUUGAUUCCAGAGUUUAUUUAUGUAAUAAGAGUCAGCGGGUUCGCUCGGCUCCAGAUAUGGGGUCGGGUGCCCAUCACACCCUAGUAAGGUCGGGGUGUGACACAAUAUUUCUGAGGAAAAGAACCCUAGAAAAGUCUCUCUAACCCUAAAGUGUGUUCUCACUCAAUCUUGAUCAUUUC
Lycium barbarum (goji berry) is the source of this 828-nucleotide long non-coding RNA. RefSeq lists it as uncharacterized. NCBI's taxonomy places the organism in Eukaryota, Viridiplantae, Streptophyta, Magnoliopsida, Solanales, Solanaceae. The record is from RefSeq and is a predicted model, not a curated record. The transcript is spliced from 3 exons.